Non-coding RNA from Oryzias latipes (Japanese medaka), 972 nucleotides. The record is from RefSeq and is a predicted model, not a curated record. Lineage: Eukaryota; Metazoa; Chordata; Actinopteri; Beloniformes; Adrianichthyidae.
CAGCUAUGCUCUUCUCCUGUUCUUCGCAGCCCUAACUUUGAAAAUAAGUUUCUCGUCCAGGUAGAUGCUUCAGCUGUGGGAGUCGGAGCAGUCCUCGCUCAAGGAGAAGAAGGAGCUGAGCAGCCCAUCCUAUACCUCAGCAGAAAACUACUGCCCAGGGAAACGAGGUAUUCUGCAGUGGAGAAGGAGGGGUUAGCCAUCAAGUGGGCCCUGGAAAGCCUGCGCUAUUAUCUCCUUGGAAGAGAUUUUGAUUUGGAGACUGAUCAUCGUGCCCUCACCUGGAUACAUUCAAUGAAGGACCACAAUAAUCGACUGACCCGUUGGUAUCUCGCACUUCAACCAUUCAAGUUUACCAUCAGACAUCGGCCCGGAAGGACCAACGUGGUGGCUGACUAUCUCUCACGGUUGCCACACAGUGUCAACCUGGAAGAGGAGGAAGGUGAUGUGACGGAGCGCCUAUAGAUGCAGUCACCUGCGCACACGCACACACAAACACAAGCAUACACACGCAGUUUUUCCACACAUAUUAACCUCUCACCGCAUUUUCAGACGCUGUGUCACGAGGCAGGCGCUCCUUGGGUGGGUUGUGUUGAGGGUGCACACUCAAUGCGCUUUACCGGGAGCCGUUAAGGACCGCGAGUUUCAAACGGAGGCGACACCUGAUCAGCUGUGUUAAGACGCGACCGGCAGCAGUGGGCGGAAAUGACGUCAUCACACAAAUGGGGGGGGAAACAAAUUAUUCAUGUGGCAGAAUUUGCCAGAAUGACAAGCAAAGGACUAAUCAGAGGAAUAUGCAGAAUCCAGCCUAAUGGGAGGGGCUUAGCGUAUAUAAGAGGGAGAGGUUAGUUGCCGCGGGCGGGCAAUGAGGGAAGACAUGGAUGUGCUCCUCUCCUGUGUAACUAUGUAAAAUUUCACUGAGGAUUAUUGCACUUGGGAGAAUUGUGGAGAAAAAUAAACCAGUUGCAAUUGGAA